RNAcentral lists this non-coding RNA (20 nucleotides) under Mus musculus (house mouse). RNAcentral also lists the same sequence under 1 other name. The record is from RNAcentral. Lineage: Eukaryota; Metazoa; Chordata; Mammalia; Rodentia; Muridae.
UGCUUGGACUACAUAUGGUU